Molecule: ribosomal RNA, 460 nt
Filed under: uncultured bacterium
Lineage: Bacteria
Description: partial 16S ribosomal RNA
Rfam family: Bacterial small subunit ribosomal RNA
Source: RNAcentral
CCUACGGGUGGCUGCAGUGAGGAAUAUUGGUCAAUGGCCGGAAGGCUGAACCAGCCAAGCCGCGUGAAGGACGAAGGUGCCACGCAUUGUAAACUUCUUUUGUCAAGGGACACAAUCCGGCUCGAGAGCCUUACCGAGGGUACUUGCAGACAAAGCAUCGGCUAACUCCGUGCCAGCAGCCGCGGUAAUACGGAGGCUGCGAGCGUUAUCCGGAUUUAUUGGGUUUAAAGGGUGCGUAGGCGUACUGUUAAGUCAAGGGUGAAAUCCCCGCGCGCAACGUGGGAACUGCCUUUGAAACUGGCAAACUGGAGUGUGUGAGAGGAUAGUGGAAUUACAGGUGUAGGAGUGAAAGCCGUAGAAAUCUGGAGGAACAUCAGUGGCGAAGGCGACUAUCUGGAACAUAACUGACGCUGAGGAGCGAAAGCGUGGGUAGCAAACAGGAUUAGAUACCCGGGUAGUC